Long non-coding RNA from Canis lupus familiaris (dog), 660 nucleotides. RefSeq lists it as uncharacterized. The transcript is spliced from 7 exons. Lineage: Eukaryota; Metazoa; Chordata; Mammalia; Carnivora; Canidae. The record is from RefSeq and is a predicted model, not a curated record.
CAGCAGAUCUCUGGACAUUCCACUUUACCAAAAAGAAGCCCUAGGCAGGAAAAAAUAAAAUUCACUAAGUAUUUACUAGUGCCACCAUAUUCUAGGCCCCAUCUUUGGCAUCUUUCAUAGCAAGUAUAUUCUUGACUGAAAAGCAUUCUUUUUCUUUUUUUUUAAGAUUUAUUUAUCUAUUCAUGAGAGACACACAGAGAGAGAGGCAGAGACACAGGAAGAGGGAGAAGCAGGCUCCAUGCGGGGAGCCCAUACAGAAUGAUCCCAGGACCCUGGAUCACGACUGGACUGGAAGGUGUAAUCGAAGGAGGAAAAGGCAAAGCGUCUGUGGGCACUGGGCAUGGCCCACAAAGUCUGGGAAAAGGAGAGGGAAUUAUUGACAAGUCAAGAAAGGAAGAUUGAAAUUGAAAUUAAUACCUAAAUGUAGAAGCAUGAUGAACUGCCUGUCGGUGCAUAAUACAGUUUCUUGUAAGGAAUUCAAGAUAAGUACUCUGUAACUUAAAUUCUCCCUUCACUCCAAAGCAGUCCCUAUUCGUCAAAAUCUAACAAAAUGAACCUUGGACUCCCUAACUGAUCUCUUGUCCUUGAGAGAAAAUAUCAUUUGGCCUAGGGGACAUCCCUGGAUGGCUCAGUGGUUUAGCACCUGCCUUCGGCCCAGGG